GGUGAGAUGGCUCAGUGGGUAAGAGCACCGGACUGCUCUUCAGAAGGUCCAGAGUUCAAAUCCCAGCAACCA
This 72-nucleotide transfer RNA is filed under the name Mus musculus (house mouse). RNAcentral describes it as "tRNA-Ser". Lineage: Eukaryota; Metazoa; Chordata; Mammalia; Rodentia; Muridae. The record is from RNAcentral.